Molecule: ribosomal RNA, 406 nt
Filed under: uncultured bacterium
Lineage: Bacteria
Description: partial 16S ribosomal RNA
Rfam family: Bacterial small subunit ribosomal RNA
Source: RNAcentral
AUUGAACGCUGGCGGCAGGCCUAACACAUGCAAGUCGAACGAGUGGCGGACGGGUGAGUAAUGUCUGGGAAACUGCCUGAUGGAGGGGGAUAACUACUGGAAACGGUAGCUAAUACCGCAUACCAUCAGAUGUGCCAAGAGGGGAUUAGCGAGUAGGUGGGGUAACGGCUCACCUAGGCGACGAUCCCUAGCGGGUAUGAGCGGCUGACCAGCCACACUGGAACUGAGACACGGUCCAGAUUCCUACGGGAGGCAGCAGUGGGGAAUAUUGCACAAUGGGCGCAAGCCUGAUGCAGCCAUGCCGCGUGUUUGAAGAAGGCCUUCGGGUUGUAAAGCACUUUCAGCGGGGAGGCGUUACCCGCAGAAGAAGCACCGGCUAACUCCGUGCCAGCAGCCGCGGUAAUAC